UACGUAGGGCGCAAGUGUUGUCCGGAAUUAUUGGGCGUAAAGAGCUCGUAGGCGGUUUGUCGCGUCUGCUGUGAAAACUCGAGGCUCAACCUCGAGACGUCGGUUGAAACCGUACGGCUAGAGUCCGGAAGAGGAGAGUGGAAUUCCCGGUGUAGCGGUGAAAUGCGCAGAUAUCGGGAAGAACACCCGUGGCGAAGGCGGCUCUCUGGGACGGUACUGACGCUGAGACGCGAAAGCGUGGGGAGCGAACAGG
Molecule: ribosomal RNA, 253 nt
Filed under: uncultured bacterium
Lineage: Bacteria
Description: partial 16S ribosomal RNA
Rfam family: Bacterial small subunit ribosomal RNA
Source: RNAcentral